RNAcentral lists this long non-coding RNA (1702 nucleotides) under Oryzias javanicus (javanese ricefish). Its description in RNAcentral is "lncRNA (ENSOJAG00000024010.1)". Lineage: Eukaryota; Metazoa; Chordata; Actinopteri; Beloniformes; Adrianichthyidae. The record is from RNAcentral.
AUGGAUGUACCUGGAGAGAGACUGAACAUUCGCCUCAAAGACGAAGACGGGACGAUCCUCUACGAGUCUUACAUCCCUCCUUCUCGGGACGCUGUCCACUUACCGACGUACGCUCUCUACCUGCUCAUUGCGGUCUUUAUCGUGCUUUCUGUUCUCUAUGCCAUCAUUGGACACCUCAUCAAAGACCUCAUCCAUGACUUUGCAGAUUGGCUGUUCGGGGAGCAGCCUGAGGAGGUGGUGGUGAACUACUGCCAAGCUAAAGAUAAAUUCAUGGCUGAUUGGUCUCCAGAAACCUCCCCUGAACUGGAGGCGAUGGCCCGAGCAGAGGAGAACAAGAUAGUUGACAGGGACUUCAUGAAAGCUCCGGCCAUCUGGAUCAUUUCCACAGAACCUCGAGGCACAAGGACUGGACCCAGAGUGGUUUUUGGGAAAAGGACUUAAAGGCAGAGCAGAGGGUAAAAAAAAAAACCAGUGUGCUGCGCUGAAAAUACAACUGAGAUCAUGUUGCAGCAUUUUAACCUGAGACUGAAUUUGCUGUGUUAUAGUGGUGGAGUGGAACUAUGAGGACAUCUAGUGUCUGUUUUGGUUUCCAGCAUGUACGUUUGGAAUAAAGCAGACUUACUGUGAAAUAACUUUACAGUGUACUUUAUUUACCCCUAUUAUAGUACUAUUUACUUUAAACAGCUUAAAUUAACAUAAUUAUUAUCAAUUAUGUCCCACUGUAAUUAUAUUUCAAUCUAUUGUAUAAAUGUUCCCUGUUUUGAUUAUUAUAAUGGAGUUUGACAAAAUGUAAAAAGAUUGUUGUUUUUUUAAGACAAAUUUUCGAUUUAUUUAGUUAGAGUUUUUGGGAGAACUGUUAUUGUGGAAGUAAGCCUCAGCUGAUAUCCCAUAAACCCUUUGUUUACACUGUUUUCCGCUAGCUUACCGUCCCUCACAACACCAAUCUAAUAUUAGCAGUGCGAGAAAAACAACGAGCAAUAUCGGAACUAUCCAGUCGUUACCUUUUUGUAGCCAGAUGUCAGCUCAGACGAGGAAAACAAAGACGUGCGGGGAUCUAUAUGUCUGCAAGUAGAUGUGCUGAAACGAAGCUGAGCAGAGAGACUUUGACCCGUCCAUUUCAGUUGCUGCGUGACAAUAUGAGCUUCUUCAAACCGCGAGUUUUCAUCUACUCCUGAUUCAUCACGAUUUGAAUAAAGAAAUACUCAGAAAAGCAGGUUUGAUCUUAGUUUUCUUUAUAUUUGUCUGCCAUCAAGAGAACAUGUUUAAAACAGCAAAAACACAAUUCUAAUGGGAGUUGAUCUUUAGACAGUGAGAUUGUUCUGAAAUUGGAAUAAAAUAUUUAGUAAUUACCAAUAUUUUCUUUCUGAGAGAUUAUGGCAACUUUACAAAAAUACACAAAGAAAUAACUCAGUGGGGGUGAAAUCAUAUGAGUUCACCUCCUCCCACUCCUUGACUUUGAUGGUCAGUAUAUUCAAUAAAUCAAAUGCGAUGUUUGUAAACUGUAUGCGUAACAGCAAAACCAUCUAAAUAUGAUUAUGAGUACUUACACUCAAGGAAAUGUCAUCAUCUUAUAACGUCUUCAUUCAUUUCUCUUUAUAGUCUGAGAAAUCUAUUAUUUGAGCUUUGAAAUGGGUUUAAUAUAUUUGUAUUUUUUUCUUUCUUCCUUUUGUUCUUUUCUUUUUUGAUUGUGGCAUUAAACUAU